RNAcentral lists this ribosomal RNA (425 nucleotides) under uncultured bacterium. RNAcentral describes it as "partial 16S ribosomal RNA". It matches the Rfam family "Bacterial small subunit ribosomal RNA", at positions 354 to 796 of the family's 1533-position model. The record is from RNAcentral.
GUGGGGAAUCUUAGACAAUGGGCGCAAGCCUGAUCUAGCCAUGCCGCGUGAGCGAUGAAGGCCUUAGGGUUGUAAAGCUCUUUCGUGGGGGAAGAUAAUGACUGUACCCCAAGAAGAAGCCCCGGCUAACUCCGUGCCAGCAGCCGCGGUAAUACGGAGGGGGCUAGCGUUGUUCGGAAUUACUGGGCGUAAAGCGCACGUAGGCGGACUGGAAAGUCAGGGGUGAAAUCCCGGGGCUCAACCCCGGAACUGCCUUUGAAACUCCCAGUCUUGAGGUCGAGAGAGGUGGGUGGAAUUCCGAGUGUAGAGGUGAAAUUCGUAGAUAUUCGGAGGAACACCAGUGGCGAAGGCGGCCCACUGGCUCGAUACUGACGCUGAGGUGCGAAAGCGUGGGGAGCAAACAGGAUUAGAAACCCUUGUAGUCC